CAGCAGCCGCGGGAAUACAGAGGGUGCGAGCGUUAAUCGGAUUUACUGGGCGUAAAGCGUGCGUAGGCGGCUUUUUAAGUCGGAUGUGAAAUCCCUGAGCUCAACUUAGGAAUUGCAUUCGAUACUGGGAAGCUAGAGUAUGGGAGAGGAUGGUAGAAUUCCAGGUGUAGCGGUGAAAUGCGUAGAGAUCUGGAGGAAUACCGAUGGCGAAGGCAGCCAUCUGGCCUAAUACUGACGCUGAGGUACGAAAGCAUGGGGAGCAAACAGGAUUAGAUACCCGCGUAGUCCCUGUCUCUUAUAA
This 301-nucleotide ribosomal RNA is filed under the name uncultured bacterium. Its description in RNAcentral is "partial 16S ribosomal RNA". It matches the Rfam family "Bacterial small subunit ribosomal RNA", at positions 509 to 809 of the family's 1533-position model. The record is from RNAcentral.